AUACGUAGGGCGCGAGCGUUGUCCGGAAUUACUGGGCGUAAAGAGCUCGUAGGUGGUUUGUCGCGUCGUCUGUGAAAUUCCGGGGCUUAACUCCGGGCGUGCAGGCGAUACGGGCAUAACUUGAGUACUGUAGGGGAGACUGGAAUUCCUGGUGUAGCGGUGAAAUGCGCAGAUAUCAGGAGGAACACCGGUGGCGAAGGCGGGUCUCUGGGCAGUAACUGACGCUGAGGAGCGAAAGCAUGGGUAGCGAACAGGAUUAGAUACCCUGGUAGUCCAUGCCGUAAACGGUGGGCGCUAGGUGUAGGGGUCUUCUACGACUUCUGUGCCGUAGCUAACGCAUUAAGCGCCCCGCCUGGGGAGUACGGCCGCAAGGCUAAAACUCAAAUGAAUUGACGGGG
RNAcentral lists this ribosomal RNA (398 nucleotides) under uncultured bacterium. RNAcentral describes it as "partial 16S ribosomal RNA". It matches the Rfam family "Bacterial small subunit ribosomal RNA", at positions 523 to 918 of the family's 1533-position model. The record is from RNAcentral.